RNAcentral lists this non-coding RNA (199 nucleotides) under Anaerobiospirillum succiniciproducens. The record is from RNAcentral. Lineage: Bacteria; Pseudomonadati; Pseudomonadota; Gammaproteobacteria; Aeromonadales; Succinivibrionaceae.
AUGGUGACAUGUAUGCUGAAGGAAGUCGGUUUUGAUUCGAUAUUAAAAAAAUCGGUCAUACAGUUGCAAAACCUCGGUCUGACGAACAGAAACCUGCUAUAAGGCGGCGAAAGGUGGACGAGACUGCCACAUAAGUCAAAGUCCAAUAGCUAGACGGAACCUUAGUCGUAAAGCAGGCAGAUAUAUGAGGCGGAAGAAA